RNAcentral lists this ribosomal RNA (499 nucleotides) under uncultured bacterium. RNAcentral describes it as "partial 16S ribosomal RNA". It matches the Rfam family "Bacterial small subunit ribosomal RNA", at positions 30 to 523 of the family's 1533-position model. The record is from RNAcentral.
AUUGAACGCUGGCGGAAUGCUUUACACAUGCAAGUCGAACGGCAGCACGGACUUCGGUCUGGUGGCGAGUGGCGAACGGGUGAGUAAUGUAUCGGAACGUGCCAGUCGUGGGGGAUAACGUAGUGAAAAUUACGCUAAUACCGCAUACGAUCUAUGGAUGAAAGCGGGGGAUCGCAAGACCUCGCGCGAUUGGAGCGGCCGAUAUCAGAUUAGGUAGUUGGUGGGGUAAAGGCCCACCAAGCCAACGAUCUGUAGCUGGUCUGAGAGGACGACCAGCCACACUGGAACUGAGACACGGUCCAGAAUCCUACGGGAGGCAGCAGUGGGGAAUUUUGGACAAUGGGCGAAAGCCUGAUCCAGCCAUUCCGCGUGCAGGAUGAAGGCCCUCGGGUUGUAAACUGCUUUUGUACAGAACGAAAAGGUUUCUACUAAUACUAGGAGCUCAUGACGGUACUGUAAGAAUAAGCACCGGCUAACUACGUGCCAGCAGCCGCAGUAA